UUUUUUUCAAAACUUUGCAUUAACAAGUUUAACAUUUUGCCAAACUAACUUGACCAUCAUGACUAACACCUAAGAAGACCUUGAUAUGGUAAUUUUGGUGGUUAGAGGAGCUCCCUAGGUGCCCUUGACAUUCUCUCGAACACCGUGAAUUCAUGUACGGAAGUGGCAUGGAUUUUGUCUGCAUUGUUGAAUUGCUCCUCUGACCCUAGUAUCAUGUCUAACAGUCCUAACCUAAACCCUAAAAUAAUUCUGUUAAUUUGAACCAGCAUUGGAGGUAGUUAGAGGCACGAGGCAUUCUGUCGAACGCCUGGUGUGCGUGCUGUGGAC
RNAcentral lists this long non-coding RNA (327 nucleotides) under Hordeum vulgare. RNAcentral describes it as "long non-coding RNA (HVUL_LNC001383)". Lineage: Eukaryota; Viridiplantae; Streptophyta; Magnoliopsida; Poales; Poaceae. The record is from RNAcentral.